RNAcentral lists this ribosomal RNA (1413 nucleotides) under Neisseria sp. GRW59. RNAcentral's name for it is "16S ribosomal RNA". It matches the Rfam family "Bacterial small subunit ribosomal RNA". Lineage: Bacteria; Pseudomonadati; Pseudomonadota; Betaproteobacteria; Neisseriales; Neisseriaceae. The record is from RNAcentral.
ACGCUGGCGGCAUGCUUUACACAUGCAAGUCGGACGGCAGCAUAGAAAGAGCUUGCUCUUUUGAUGGCGAGUGGCGAACGGGUGAGUAAUGCAUCGGAACGUACCGAGUAGUGGGGGAUAACUGUCCGAAAGGAUGGCUAAUACCGCAUAUUCUCUGAGGAGGAAAGCAGGGGACCUUAGGGCCUUGCGCUAUUUGAGCGGCCGAUGUCUGAUUAGCUAGUUGGUGGGGUAAGAGCCCACCAAGGCGACGAUCAGUAGCGGGUCUGAGAGGAUGAUCCGCCACACUGGGACUGAGACACGGCCCAGACUCCUACGGGAGGCAGCAGUGGGGAAUUUUGGACAAUGGGCGCAAGCCUGAUCCAGCCAUGCCGCGUGUAUGAAGAAGGCCUUCGGGUUGUAAAGUACUUUUGUCAGGGAAGAAAAGCCUGGGGAUAACACCCUCGGGUCAUGACGGUACCUGAAGAAUAAGCACCGGCUAACUACGUGCCAGCAGCCGCGGUAAUACGUAGGGUGCGAGCGUUAAUCGGAAUUACUGGGCGUAAAGCGAGCGCAGACGGUUAUUUAAGCAAGAUGUGAAAGCCCCGGGCUCAACCUGGGAACUGCGUUUUGAACUGGGUAACUAGAGUGUGUCAGAGGGGGGUAGAAUUCCACGUGUAGCAGUGAAAUGCGUAGAGAUGUGGAGGAAUACCGAUGGCGAAGGCAGCCCCCUGGGAUAACACUGACGUUCAUGCUCGAAAGCGUGGGUAGCAAACAGGAUUAGAUACCCUGGUAGUCCACGCCCUAAACGAUGUCAAUUAGCUGUUGGGGUACAUGAUGCCUUAGUAGCGUAGCUAACGCGUGAAAUUGACCGCCUGGGGAGUACGGUCGCAAGAUUAAAACUCAAAGGAAUUGACGGGGACCCGCACAAGCGGUGGAUGAUGUGGAUUAAUUCGAUGCAACGCGAAGAACCUUACCUGGUCUUGACAUGUACGGAAUCUCUUAGAGAUAGGAGAGUGCCUUCGGGAGCCGUAACACAGGUGCUGCAUGGCUGUCGUCAGCUCGUGUCGUGAGAUGUUGGGUUAAGUCCCGCAACGAGCGCAACCCUUGCCAUUAGUUGCCAUCAUUAAGUUGGGCACUCUAAUGGGACUGCCGGUGACAAACCGGAGGAAGGUGGGGAUGACGUCAAGUCCUCAUGGCCCUUAUGACCAGGGCUUCACACGUCAUACAAUGGUCGGUACAGAGGGUAGCCAAGCCGCGAGGUGGAGCCAAUCCCAGAAAACCGAUCGUAGUCCGGAUUGCACUCUGCAACUCGAGUGCAUGAAGUCGGAAUCGCUAGUAAUCGCAGGUCAGCAUACUGCGGUGAAUACGUUCCCGGGUCUUGUACACACCGCCCGUCACACCAUGGGAGUGGGGGAUACCAGAAUUGGGUAGGGU